UACGGGGGGGGCAAGCGUUGUUCGGAAUUACUGGGCGUAAAGGGCUCGUAGGCGGCCAACUAAGUCAGACGUGAAAUCCCUCGGCUUAACCGGGGAACUGCGUCUGAUACUGGAUGGCUUGAGUUCGGGAGAGGGAUGCGGAAUUCCAGGUGUAGCGGUGAAAUGCGUAGAUAUCUGGAGGAACACCGGUGGCGAAGGCGGCAUCCUGGACCGAGACUGACGCUGAGGCACGAAAGCGUGGGGAUCAAACAGG
RNAcentral lists this ribosomal RNA (253 nucleotides) under uncultured bacterium. RNAcentral's name for it is "partial 16S ribosomal RNA". It matches the Rfam family "Bacterial small subunit ribosomal RNA", at positions 524 to 776 of the family's 1533-position model. The record is from RNAcentral.